This 653-nucleotide ribosomal RNA is filed under the name uncultured cyanobacterium. Its description in RNAcentral is "bacterial SSU rRNA". It matches the Rfam family "Bacterial small subunit ribosomal RNA", at positions 66 to 763 of the family's 1533-position model. Lineage: Bacteria; Bacillati; Cyanobacteriota. The record is from RNAcentral.
ACGCAAGUAGCAAUACUUGAGUGGCGGACGGGUGAGUAACGCGUGAGAAUCUGCCUUUUGGUCGGGGACAACCACUGGAAACGGUGGCUAAUACCGGAUAUGCCUAACGGUGAAAGAUUAAUUGCCAGAAGAGGAGCUCGCGUCUGAUUAGCUAGUUGGUGAGGUAAAGGCUCACCAAGGCAUCGAUCAGUAGCUGGUCUGAGAGGAUGACCAGCCACACUGGGACUGAGACACGGCCCAGACUCCUACGGGAGGCAGCAGUGGGGAAUUUUCCGCAAUGGGCGAAAGCCUGACGGAGCAAGACCGCGUGAGGGAGGAAGGCUCUUGGGUUGUAAACCUCUUUUGUCAGGGAAGAACACAAUGACGGUACCUGAAGAAUCAGCAUCGGCUAACUCCGUGCCAGCAGCCGCGGUAAUACGGGGGAUGCAAGCGUUAUCCGGAAUUAUUGGGCGUAAAGCGUCCGCAGGUGGCUAAUCAAGUCUGCUGUCAAAGGUUGGGGCUUAACCCCAAAAAGGCAGUGGAAACUGAAAAGCUAGAGUGCAGUAGGGGUAGAGGGAAUUCCCGGUGUAGCGGUGAAAUGCGUAGAGAUCGGGAAGAACAUCGGUGGCGAAAGCGCUCUACUGGACUGCAACUGACACUAAGCCGAAUUCUGC